AGUAACGCAUCGGAACGUACCGAGUAGUGGGGGAUAACUGUCCGAAAGGAUGGCUAAUACCGCAUACGCUUUGAGAAGGAAAGCGGGGGAUCUUCGGACCUCGCGCUAUUCGAGCGGCCGAUGUCUGAUUAGCUAGUUGGUGGGGUAAAGGCCUACCAAGGCGACGAUCAGUAGCGGGUCUGAGAGGAUGAUCCGCCACACUGGGACUGAGACACGGCCCAGACUCCUACGGGAGGCAGCAGUGGGGAAUUUUGGACAAUGGGCGCAAGCCUGAUCCAGCCAUGCCGCGUGUCUGAAGAAGGCCUUCGGGUUGUAAAGGACUUUUGUCAGGGAAGAAAAGCUUGAGGCUAAUACCCUUGAGUGAUGACGGUACCUGAAGAAUAAGCACCGGCUAACUACGUGCCAGCAGCCGCGGUAAUACGUAGGGUGCGAGCGUUAAUCGGAAUUACUGGGCGUAAAGCGGGCGCAGACGGUUACUUAAGUCAGAUGUGAAAUCCCCGGGCUCAACCUGGGAACUGCGUUUGAAACUGGGUAGCUAGAGUAUGUCAGAGGGGGGUAGAAUUCCACGUGUAGCAGUGAAAUG
This 583-nucleotide ribosomal RNA is filed under the name Neisseria dumasiana. Its description in RNAcentral is "bacterial SSU rRNA". It matches the Rfam family "Bacterial small subunit ribosomal RNA", at positions 109 to 688 of the family's 1533-position model. Lineage: Bacteria; Pseudomonadati; Pseudomonadota; Betaproteobacteria; Neisseriales; Neisseriaceae. The record is from RNAcentral.